ACCUUGUGGCUCUGCACAGCUCCUGCCAGGAGGGGACAGCCGGGGGGAUUUGGGAUCUCAUCCCAGGGAACAGGGACAGGAGGAGAGGGAACGGCCUCAGGCUGGGCCAGGGGAGGUCAGGGUGGGUUUUGGGGGAAAUCCAAUGUUUUUCAGAUGAAAUGGGAGCAAAAAGCUUAACGGACCAACAGCUGCUGGUGAUUGCCAAGCUGCUGGACCGGAGCUGGAGGGAAAUGGCCAUCGAGUGUCUGCAGAUGGAGAUGAAGGACAUCGAUGACGUCCGGGCCAUGGAGGAGGACGUGACCAUGCAGAAGCUGCUGGUGCUGAGGAAGUGGAGAGAGAGGGAGCAGGGCCACGGCACUGCAGAGGCUUUGCAGAGGAGCCUGGGGGAAAAAGCCACCUACGAGAUCCUGCAGGCGCUGCAAGGUUUCUUGGCUCAGAGCUGAGCCAGCUGCGAGGAGGAGGAGGAGGAGGAGGAGGAAGAGGAGGUGGGAGCUUCCCAACCCAACCCUUCGCUCCCCCGGGAUCCUGCUGGGACUCAGGAAUGUUCCUGGUGGGAAGUUCAGGCAGGACCCUCCAGAGACACGUGGAUGGAAUUUGGUGUGGAUAGGAGCCACUUCCAAGACUUUUCAGGAGAGGUGGAUCCUGGAAUUCCGGGUUCCACCCACGGGGAAAAGCCACUCCAGGAGGACACAAACACUGGAAGAAACCACUUGAUCUUUUUAAUCUCCUGGAAAUGAUUUUGAUUUCCAUCAGGGAAAACCAGGGAGAAGAAUUCCCCUGGAAACUUUCACCCCCUUCCAAAAAAACCACUGAACUGCCAGAAUCGUGAGGUGUGUCGGAUUUCUCAUGGAUCAGGGAAGAAGAAUCCUAAACUUGUACCAAAUUUCUUUGGCAUAAUCACUGUAUAGAUGGAAUUAUUGUACAGAUCCUCUACAUCCAAUCCUUGUUAAGCUGUGGUUCUGCUUCCUGAAAUUCCCAAAGAUGGGAGCACCACUGUGAGCUCCAGGCAGCUCGGAAUUUCCCAUGGAAUUCCUUCUCCCCUCUUUUCUGUAUAGUUUGUCUCAGUUUUUUACGUUGUAUAAUUUUUUUUUUUUUUUGUAUGAGAAACUUUUUAUACUUCUUUUUAUUUUUUUUUUACUUGAUUUAUUUUUUACUUGGAUAGAAUUUAGGUGCUUAAAAUGUGAGGAGCCGAAAUCCCUGUGCUGCAGGAUUGGAAAAAAAUCAGGAAAAAUGGAAUUUGCAGAAGAGAGGAGUGACCAGAUCCAGGAUUGUCUUGUUUUCAAGGCUCUGGGAUACCUGGGAUGAUCUUCCUCUGUGUGUCUGGGAAAGGAAAACGUACUUUUGGAAAAACAACGAUUAAACAGGAAAAAUUUCCAUGAUUUCCACCUGAAUUUUGAUUUUUGUUUUAGUUGGAUGAAGUGUUGGGGAGCUGUUGAUUUCCUGGGAAGAGGAUGGAAGUUGUGGAGGUGCCACCAAAAGCAUCCAAAUCCCAAAAUCUCCCAUCCCAUUCCAGCCCCUUCCCUAUCCCAGGUUUUUCCAAGAGGGAAAUUUGGAUUUUAAAACCCCCCAAUUACAGGGAGGUGCCUUCCCAUGCCAGCAGCAUCCAAAGGAUUUCAAAGGAUUCAUGUCAGGUCCCAAGGGACAAAAAAAUCACUGUGGUUUUGAAGGAAAUCUUGAUUUUAUUAAAUAAAUAAUAAAUAGAAUAAAUAGGGAAUAUUGUA
This 1721-nucleotide long non-coding RNA is filed under the name Lonchura striata (white-rumped munia). Its description in RNAcentral is "domestica (Bengalese finch) lncRNA (ENSLSDG00000007938.1)". Lineage: Eukaryota; Metazoa; Chordata; Aves; Passeriformes; Estrildidae. The record is from RNAcentral.